UGCCGAGGGAUUUGCCUUUUUGUUAAAGGGAUAACAAGUGGCCUCUCCUGUAGCAACUACGAGCGUUUCCCCACAUCUGGUUUUUUGCAUUCCAGUCCCCCGCAAUGAUGAACCUCAGUGAUUGUGGAUUACAUAGUUGGUCUAUCCCUUUGAGGAGGCGAGGAAAAUCGUCGUUUUGUCAUUUCACAGAUGGUGGGCAAUAGAUGGAGGCAAGUACAAGGACCGAAUGGGCAAGGUCGCUACGAAUUAUUGUCGCAGCAUCCCCUCUGCGCUGCGACACUGGAUUCAAGGCAGUGUAAACCUUGUAUCCGGGGAUAUGAAAGGUCCCUGUCCUAACUUCGCUGACGAGCAGCACGUCAACAUCUCGUCCACUUAAGAACGAUGAGAGCUCGUCAAUUUUGUUUUGGAUGCCCCCAGCGUUCCAGGAGACAAUCUUUAAAGUCUUAGGAGCUUUAAACAUAGAGGCAGUCAUUGGCGUCAAGGGUAUUUUCUAGAAUCGAGGCCAUUUCGAUUGUCUGAAUGGAGCAGGAUAAGUUAGAGAUAGGAUAGGCUAGAGAGUUAUUGUUCGGUGAGACCUCAGUUAUGUCAAACAUAUUAGUGAUUUUAAUAAACAGAGUUG
Molecule: long non-coding RNA, 619 nt
Organism: Drosophila ananassae
Lineage: Eukaryota; Metazoa; Arthropoda; Insecta; Diptera; Drosophilidae
Exons: 3
Source: RefSeq, a predicted model, not a curated record